AGGCGAGGAGCCCUCGGCCCAGUCGCAGACCCUCCGAGCCCGGCGCGGGCUCGGCGCCCUCAACACGGACCGGCCAGCCACGGGGGCAUCGUCCGGGGGCGCCCCUC
Molecule: non-coding RNA, 107 nt
Filed under: Tetraselmis sp. GSL018
Lineage: Eukaryota; Viridiplantae; Chlorophyta; Chlorodendrophyceae; Chlorodendrales; Chlorodendraceae
Source: RNAcentral